RNAcentral lists this transfer RNA (74 nucleotides) under compost metagenome. RNAcentral's name for it is "tRNA-Ala". It matches the Rfam family "tRNA". Rfam says of the family: Transfer RNA (tRNA) molecules are approximately 80 nucleotides in length. Their secondary structure includes four short double-helical elements and three loops (D, anti-codon, and T loops). The record is from RNAcentral.
GGGGAGUUAGCUCAUCCGGUAGAGCAACGCUUUUGCAAGGCGUAGGUGAAGGGUUCAAGUCCCUUACUCUCCAC